Molecule: unclassified non-coding RNA, 231 nt
Filed under: plant metagenome
Description: partial contains small subunit ribosomal RNA, internal transcribed spacer 1, and 5.8S ribosomal RNA
Source: RNAcentral
UCUCCGUUGGUGAACCGGCGGAGGGAUCAUUACAGAGUUGCAAAACUCCCAAACCAUUGUGAACGUUACCUAUCCCGUUGCUUCGGCGGGCGGCCCGGGCCCCGCGCCCGGCGCCCCCCGGCCCCCCGUGGGCGCCCGCCGGAGGUAAACCAAACCCUUGAAUUGCAUGGCCUCUCUGAGUCUUCUGUACUGAAUAAGUCAAAACUUUCAACAACGGAUCUCUUGGUUCUG